Long non-coding RNA from Sebastes umbrosus (honeycomb rockfish), 568 nucleotides. RefSeq lists it as uncharacterized. The transcript is spliced from 3 exons. Lineage: Eukaryota; Metazoa; Chordata; Actinopteri; Perciformes; Sebastidae. The record is from RefSeq and is a predicted model, not a curated record.
AGCAGAGGGAGCAGCAGAGAAAUGAAAGGUGAUCCAGAGAGCCAGCUAUGGAAAAUGUGGGUGGUGGGCAGUCCUGCUAAUGCUUUCGACCCUGACCUCUGCCAUUCUCUAGCUAAGAUUCGAGGGCACUGGCAGAGCUACAAUGCCCAGCGUGAAGACGACUAAUGCUGUUUCACCUGACCUGCCUUGCAAGGCUCACAGGACGUAGACUGAAUGUCUCUGCACACUUUGCAGGCUAAGGAUGUCUGUCUGCACACCACACCCCAAUCCAAAUGGGGGGUGAAUUAGCACAAGAGCUGACAUGUUAAGCAGUCAUGCUUAUCACAGUCUCCCACCAGUGAGGCAGAGGCUGGGUCAAACAGCGCUGUAAAAGGCACCCGGGAAAUCCAGCUCCAGUCAAAGCCUCCUCCCACUGUCUCCCAACAGGGCAGCCACGGCUGGGCCAGGCUACUUGAUACCACCACAGGAUCUGCUUGAAGAUCAUCCGGUUUGCCUCGCUGCUCUGCUGCUUCCACAGUCUCCAGUGACUGAGGAAUUCCCAUGUGCUCAGUCUUCGUGUUCCAUUCUC